RNAcentral lists this small nuclear RNA (23 nucleotides) under Arabidopsis thaliana (thale cress). RNAcentral describes it as "snRNA_16265". The record is from RNAcentral. Lineage: Eukaryota; Viridiplantae; Streptophyta; Magnoliopsida; Brassicales; Brassicaceae.
UGUUUCCAAACCACCAAAACCAA